RNAcentral lists this long non-coding RNA (511 nucleotides) under Ictidomys tridecemlineatus (thirteen-lined ground squirrel). RNAcentral describes it as "lncRNA (ENSSTOG00000029808.1)". Lineage: Eukaryota; Metazoa; Chordata; Mammalia; Rodentia; Sciuridae. The record is from RNAcentral.
CCAACAAUCUUUAAACUGGCCUUCCUGCCACCUAACAUGGCCUCCUUUCAAUUCACUCUUCUUAGUGUUUCUGGAAUGACCUUUUCUACAAUGCAAAUCUGGGCAUGUUACCCAUCAGUCCUCAGGAUGAAGCCAAAUCUUUCUACCACAACUGUCUUCCACCUGGCCCCUACUAGCUCUUCAGACUCUGCCCAUCCUGUACCUUAGCACCCUGCCUCUGCAUCUGGAAUGUUUCUCCCUGGCCAAGUUUUCUUCAUCCUUGAGGAUGUGAUCAGCUGGAGAAGUCAACCACUUCUGAGUCUGACCCUGGUCUUCCAACGGGCUGUUGGAACACAACACCUCAUCUCACCUUCUGAGGCAAAAUGCCCAACUGGCACUGUUUUUAGACGAAUUAAGCUGCUUUUGACUUAGACAGAGGAUAAUCACAAGUUCCUGGAGGAUAAUAUUGAGAAGGGAAUCUGUCAGGGGAGACAUCUGAUCACACUCCGACCCUGUAGGGGAACGGCAGUGG